UCUAAAACUUGAGAUAUGGGUUGAACACUGAACAGUGUUUGGGCUACAUGAUAAAUUCCAACUUCUCUUGUUGCUACAAUUUCAACUUGAAAACGGUCGUUUUGAAUCUUGGACUCUAAUGAAAGUUUUAAGCCUAUGUCUUAGCUUUCCAUC
Non-coding RNA from Populus trichocarpa (black cottonwood), 153 nucleotides. The record is from Rfam. Lineage: Eukaryota; Viridiplantae; Streptophyta; Magnoliopsida; Malpighiales; Salicaceae.